RNAcentral lists this ribosomal RNA (1392 nucleotides) under uncultured bacterium. Its description in RNAcentral is "16S ribosomal RNA". It matches the Rfam family "Bacterial small subunit ribosomal RNA". The record is from RNAcentral.
UUCGCCCUUAGAGUUUGAUCCUGGCUCAGGACGAACGCUGGCGGCGCGCCUAACACAUGCGAGUCGAACGGAACUUGAGAGGGCUUGCUUUUUCAAGUUUAGUGGCGAACGGGUGAGUAACGCGUGAGUAACCUGCCCUGGAGUGGGGGACAACAGUUGGAAACGACUGCUAAUACCGCAUAAGCCCGCAGUGCCGCAUGGCACAGCGGGAAAAGGAUUUAUUCGCUUCAGGAUGGACUCGCGUCCAAUUAGCUAGUUGGUGAGGUAACGGCCCACCAAGGCGACGAUUGGUAGCCGGACUGAGAGGUUGAACGGCCACAUUGGGACUGAGACACGGCCCACACUCCUACGGGAGGCAGCAGUGGGGGAUAUUGCACAAUGGGGGAAACCCUGAUGCAGCGACGCCGCGUGGAGGCAGAAGGUUUUCGGAUUGUAAACUCCUGUCGUAAGGGACGAUAAUGACGGGACCUUACGAGAAAGCCACGGCUAACUACGUGCCAACAGCCGCGGUAAAACGUACGUGGCAAGCGUUGUCCGGAAUUACUGGGUGUAAAGGGAGCGCACGCGGACCGGCGAGUUGGAAGUGAAAUCUAUGGGCUCAACCCAUAAAUUGCUUUCAAAACUGCUGGCCUUGAGUAGUGCAGAGGUAAGGCGGAAUUCCCGGUGUAGCGGUGGAAUGCGUAGAUAUCGUGAGGAACACCCCGGGGCGAAGGCGGUCUACUGGACACCCACUGACGUUGAGGCUCGUAAGCGUGGGGAGCGAACAUGAUUACAUACCCUGGUAGUCCACGCCGUAGACGAUAAAUACUAGGUGUUGGGGAGCAAAGCUCUUCGGUGCCGCAGCAAACGCAAUAAGUACUCCACCUGGGGAGUACGUUCGCAAGAAUGAAACUCAAAGGAAUUGACGGGGACCCGCACAAGCGGUGGAGCAUGUGGUUUAAUUCGAAGCAACGCGAAGAACCUCACCAGGUCUUGACAUCCCCCUGACCGGCCCGUAACGGGGCCUUUCCUUCGGGACAGGGGAGACAGGUGGUGCAUGGUUGUCGUCAGCAUCGUGUCGUGAGAUGUUGGGUUAAGUCCCGCAACGAGCGCAACCCUUAUCCUUAGUAGCCAGCAGGCAGAGCUGGGCACUCUAGGGAGACUGCCGGGGAUAACCCGGAGGAAGGCGGGGACGGCGUCAAAUCAUCAUGCCCCUUAUGAUCUGGGCUACACACGUGCUACAAUGGCGUAAACAAAGGGAAGCGAGAUGGUGACAUGGAGCGAAUCCCAAAAAUAACGUCCCAGUUCGGACUGUAGUCUGCAACCCGACUACACGAAGCUGGAAUCGCUAGUAAUCGCGAAUCAGAAUGCCGCGGUGAAUACAAACCCGGGUCUUGUACACACCGCCCGUCA